GAGCCUGUAGCUCAACGGCAGAGCGCUACACUGUGGCUGUAGAUGUUGCGGGUUCGAAACCCGUCAGGCUCCCCA
This 75-nucleotide transfer RNA is filed under the name Anaerolineales bacterium. RNAcentral's name for it is "tRNA-His". It matches the Rfam family "tRNA". From Rfam's summary of the family: Transfer RNA (tRNA) molecules are approximately 80 nucleotides in length. Their secondary structure includes four short double-helical elements and three loops (D, anti-codon, and T loops). Lineage: Bacteria; Bacillati; Chloroflexota; Anaerolineae; Anaerolineales. The record is from RNAcentral.